RNAcentral lists this long non-coding RNA (1109 nucleotides) under Phascolarctos cinereus (koala). RNAcentral describes it as "lncRNA (ENSPCIG00000025099.2)". Lineage: Eukaryota; Metazoa; Chordata; Mammalia; Diprotodontia; Phascolarctidae. The record is from RNAcentral.
AUGAUGCAGCAGUACAGGGAAGGCCAUCACAUGGGAACUGGAGAGAUGCCAACAUGGAGACACAGAGAAUGCAAGGAUCAGGUGCCAAGUUCCAGAGGUGUGGACUCCAACCAUAACUGGGAGGACUUCAGGGGCCUCCGUCCCCCAGGGAAUUCAACUGCUGAGUCAUAUGUUCCUGAGAAAAGUUCUUCGGAAGGCCUGAGGGGCAGCAAAGCGUCAGAACAAGCAGGUUCAAGUUAGAAUUAGGCUUCUGUUAGGUUCUCCUCUCUACGAGCAGCAGCUAUAAAAAAAAUGAGCAGAAACCAACUGCCCCUCUCCCUACUCCAGGACUUCCCUCUGACAUUUUCCCCACCCCACCCCCAAUUAAAAAAAAGCAUCACAUUGAUUAAUAUGCUUAAUCAAGCACAUUAACCCCUGCUUGCCUGAAUAUGUCCCAAACCCAGUCCUGGAUAAUGCCACAAUUCUUGCGAUAGUUUCUAGCCUUCUGGCCCCCACCUAGGUAUAGGAAAGUAACCCUUUCUAGAUGGGCAACUAAACAGUUUGCCAUUUUCCUGCCCUGAAGGCUAAAGUGCUGACUUGAAGUCAUGAGAAUCUCCUGUGGACCAGUAAGUUGGCCGCAGCAAUCGCGGACAAGCAUACUUGGCCUCUCUACUUAACUCACUAUUGCAAAAUGGCUUCAGAGAUACUGUGUGAAAUUAGGAAAAGUGUUUGGAGUAGGAGAUGGAGGGGGAACAGAGAGUAGUUCUGUUCCUAAGGGAGAGUUUCCCUAUACUGUAGCUAUCUGGGAGCCAAGGAAAUAGAAAGACCAGCUGUUGCCCCCAAUGCACCCCAUGCCCGAUUCCAGCCAGAAUCUUCUCCUGGCAACUACUCUGGCUUAAGCGAUCAUCCUUUGGGGAGGUGGGGGCGGGAACAUUGAGUAGCACGGGAAUCUCACUCUAGCAGAAACAAGGACCACAUGGAAAUUAAUCUCAGCCCCACAGGGCUCCAGGAGAAGCCCAGGUAUUCCGUGCCAGGUCCUCAGUGGGGGGGGGGAAUGCUCCAAAUUAGCACCUUCUGGGCUCCAGGGUAGAGGUGGCCAAUAAAGGAGUCACCUACUGGUCUGAGUACCA